UUGGGCCACUCCCGCGGCAUAUGGAGGUUCCCAGGCUAGGGGUCGAAUCGGAGCUGCAGGCACUGGCCUACGCCAGAGCCACAGCAACGUGGCAUCCGAGCCGCGUCUGCAACCUACCCCACAGCUCACGGCAACGCCAGAUCCUUAACCCACUGAGCAAGGGCAGGGACGGAACCCGCAACCUCAUGGUUCCUAGUCGGAUUCGUUAACUACUGCGCCAUGACGGGAACUCCUGCCCCUCUCUCUUUGCUGAGCACCCACUAUGUGCCUGGAGCUGCUGCAGGAUGCCAGGAACCAGCCACUUACCUCCACUGGCCCCACGCGUGCAUGAGCACAUCACAUGUGCGUGCACAGACACACACACACACAUCACCUCCCCCAGAGCCCAGUACCUCAUACACCUCAGACUCAGAGGGUUCCCCCGCAACGAAGGCACUGAGCAGAGAACUCCACCUCUGUUGACGGCCAUGCAUUACAGACAAGGCCUCUGGUGACCAGGAAAGGGCGGUGCUGUCCAAGGUCACAUAGUGAACUGGCUCUGCACAGGCUGACCCAACGGCUGCCCAGACUUCCGGGCGGAGAAUUCUGGCAGGUCCCUGAGCCACCCCAUCUGGGCUCUGGCAGGAGGUAAAUAAAGGCAACAUUGCUACAAGGUCACAAUGGCUGGGACAGACCAGGGACACGGUGCUGGGCCCAAGCAACUGAAGGGCAAUCUGAGAGGGCUCCCAGGAGGAGGUGAGGGGCUCAGAGCCUUGCCUUGGCCUGAGCCCCUCAGCACUCCACCCCCUUCCUCGAUGGGCCCCUCACCCAUCAGCUUCAGCCUCAGCUUGACAUUUCCCGUGACAUUUGCUGCAAAGAAAUAGAGCCAUAAACCCAAAGGUUAAAUUUGCACAUUGCCUGGCUGCCGGGCGAGCAGGUCCCGCCACCCACCAGGUGCCUGGCUGCAGGCUUGUGUGGGAUGGCCCACACAGGCCUGGGGCCCUUGCUGGGGGCCCAAAGGUCCCCUCCAAUGGACCUCAGCCGCCGUUUCCCAAAAUGGGUUCCUGGGCACAUCAGGCCCUAAGCAUGUUACACAAGACGCCCAGAGAGGCUCUGCCCACCCAGCACCCUGCGGUAAAGAAGCUCCGUCAGCGCCUCUAAACCAGUCAGUCCCAAAUCUGCGUGACCACAAAACCUUGUCCAACCCCCACCAACAUUCUGCGGAACCUCAAUUCCAUGAAGCGUGAUCCGUGAUGGCAUGAGGCCAAGGAGCAACCCCCGGGGCACCAGGCGGCGGCCUGAACAAAGCUGAGUCAGCUUCUGACACCCCAGUUCCUCCACUGGGCUCCCCCCAUCAUGUCACCACUGGCCCAGCCCCAUGUGCUAGGGUCCGAAUGGGCUCACCACCUGCCAGGCCCACCUGGGCCAACCCAAGACCCUGGUCUUGAGACAUGCAGCACUUCUUCACGGCCUCUGGAAGGGCGGCCAACAGCCCUGCCCUUCAGCAACACCUCCUGGGCUGGCUGCCCUGUCCUGGGCUGGUGGGGGGGGCCAGGCUGUGGGACAGGGCCACCAUGGCCCAUUCUCCAUUCCCAGGCAGGGCAAGGUGGCAGGUCCACUGGGAGGCAGGAGCCAGGAUGACACUGCAGGACAAGGACAGAGGCUGUGUGAAGGGGCCGCAGAGAGGCAGUCCUAUAGCACCCACCAGCUGCAUAAGACUGCAGAGCCAGAAUCCUGAGACCGCCCAGAGGCCCCAGGUGUGGGAGAGGCCUGAGGGGCCCACCCUAAAAACGUUCGGAGGGGUCCAUAUCAGGCCUGGCCUCCUACUGGGGGUGGGGCAUAUGGCUCUGCCUCCAGGGGACCUGGCAGGGCCUGUACUGAGGACACAUCUCUGGGUGUCCAGCUGCACAACCAUAGGAAGUGAGAGAGGCAAGGCAGGUUUUGAUAAAUAAAUUACGGCACAUCCUCAGGAAGGGAUUCCACACACACCAGCAAACGCAUGGUAACCCAAGAAUAGUUCCCGACGUGCAAAAUGUUUAAAAUACAGCGACGAAGGAAGAAACUGCAGCAUAGAACACCAGGCGUGGUGGGGCCUGGUAGGGCCCACAUGCUCCCACCCUGGCACAGGGAGAGGCAAGGGUAUGGACAGCCUGCCCGCCCUCUGGCUAGGCUGCCAUUUUCAGCUCUGUGGCCACCUGUCCUUUAAAGCAUUUUGUCCUGUAAACUCAGGUGGGCAAGGACCACAUCCCUUCAUCUGGAUGGCUUAGAGGGGGUCUGACAGACCGUGAAUAAGUGAGUAAGUGAGUGAGUGAGUGAGUGAGUGAGAACUGGUGUCUCAGUGGAAGCGAAUGUAACAUCUGGGCUUGGGCAGCUGGGGGGUGGGGGGGCACAGGAGCGGGCAGACCACAAAGGGUCAGGCAGCCCUGCCUAGGGGUCAGAGAUCAGAGCCCAGGGCGAAGGGACACCUGAAUUUCCCUGACUGUGCAGAGGCAAGAGCCUUCAGGAACCCCAGGACGGGGCCCGGAGCAGGAGUGCUGCUCACACUCACUCCUUCCCACACUCACUGUCACUGUCCCCACGGCCAGUUCCCUGGUUCUAGCAAACCCCUUCACUAUGUCCCAAGCUCCUGACCCCUAUCUGGAUGCACAGGCUGAGCCUCUGGGGAGACUCUCUGGCCACAGGCCCAGGAGAGCAGGAAACACGGCCCUGGGGGUGCACUCCUGCCUCCACCAGCCGGGCCACUCUUGGGCUGCACCAGCUGCCACAGGCGUCUGCACAACAAAGCCACAGAUGCAGGCCGGGGCAGGGAGCGCCAGGGGCCAGCCAGGCAUGCUGGCUGUCCUGGGGCAGCAAAAGGAGGGUGAGGUCGGAGUCCAGAAAGCCUGAGGGGCAGGGCUGUACACACCUGGCCCCUCACAGUCUGUCACUGGCGAUGAACAACAGCAAACAAACCAUAGGCCCCAAAGAGGGCCCCGGGCAACCCUUGGCCUCCUCUGCUUUCCGUGGUCCAAGCACAUCUCCUACAGACUCCUACCAGCCCUCCUGCGUGUUGAGACCCACUGGGCCAGGCUCUCCUCCUGCAGCCUCCACCCACCUCUCCUCCAUGACCACAGGAAGCCCAUCCUGACCGAAGGGUGCCCAACUGGCCACUGGUCCUCACAUGGGGAAACUGAGACUCAGGGCAUCACAGGCUCCCAGCUUGUGUUGGGCAGAGCAAAGACGCUGCCCCAGUUGGUGGCAGGGGCGGGGGGGAGGAGACGCACACUUCGCACCUCCUGCAGUGCUCCCUCUCCCUUCCUGCUCCCCAUCUGCCCACCCCCUUCUUCAACUCCCUGGUUGGCCACUGCAGGCCAUUAUUUUCCCAUCUGCAAACGGUUAGGAAGGAGGUCCAGUUGACAGUGUGAGGGCUCCAGGACUUCCCUGCGUGGGAACCACUGAGUCAGGUAGGGUGGUGGUGCCUUGAGUAUCUUGAAAGCAGAAGCACUGGGGUCAGAACUCCAUGGGAGCCUCACCCUUUAAGUGUCCCACAACCCCAAAGGGAGGCCCGAUUACUGGCCCAUGUGAUGAGUAGGGGAGAGCGAGGCACGGAGAGGUUGACUGUCACACCCAAGGUCAUACCACCGUCUGUGACUGAGCCAGGACCCAUAUCCAAGCUCUUACUCUUCGGCCAUUCCAAACCUGGGAAUCAGGGUCUGUGAGUGGCCCUCUGCCAGGUGGAGUCUGGGUGUGCCCACCUGACUUAGACCCUCGCAUGGGAGCUCCACCUUCCUCACCUCUACUGCAGCAAGAGCAGGAAAGUACCUACUCUGCAGAGGGAAAGACUGAGGGCUUAGGGAAGAGAAGUGGCCAGUCCCACCCCCACCCCCACCCCCCAUGGGACCCACCCCUCUGUUUCACCCCCACACACCCUACUAGGAUGACCUGCUUGUCCUCAUUCUACAGACAAGGACACUGAUGGGGGGGGGCGGGGAGCAGGGUUGUGGUCCUGCCUCCCUAAGCCCUGGCCUGGGGUCCUCACCACAGUGAGUGAGGGUGGGUCACCAAAACUCUGACUUCAGACCCCUCCUCAGCAUGCAAGGCAGGGGGCACACUACAGAGCCCCUCACCAAGAAGGCUCUCUC
RNAcentral lists this long non-coding RNA (4100 nucleotides) under Sus scrofa (pig). Its description in RNAcentral is "lncRNA (ENSSSCG00005000707.1)". The record is from RNAcentral. Lineage: Eukaryota; Metazoa; Chordata; Mammalia; Artiodactyla; Suidae.